Molecule: ribosomal RNA, 325 nt
Filed under: uncultured eukaryote
Lineage: Eukaryota
Description: partial 18S ribosomal RNA
Rfam family: Eukaryotic small subunit ribosomal RNA
Source: RNAcentral
CCCUUAGAUGCUCUGGGCUGCACGCGCGCUACACUGGUGCGUUCAGCGAGUUUAGCACCUUAACAGAUAUGUUUGGGUAAUCUUCUGAAAACGCACCGUGAUGGGGAUCGAUUAUUGUAAUUAUUAAUCGUCAACGAGGAAUUCCUAGUAAGUGUGAAUCAUCAGUUCGCGCUGAUUACGUCCCUGCCCUUUGUACACACCGCCCGUCGCUGCUACCGAUUGAGUGGUCCGGUGAAUUAUUCGGACCGGUGGACUGUGGGGAAACCCGCGGCCUGCUGGGAAGUCUUGUGAACCUUAUCACUUAGAGGAAGCAGAAGUCGUAACA